This is a long non-coding RNA of Acanthochromis polyacanthus (spiny chromis), 473 nucleotides long. RefSeq lists it as uncharacterized. NCBI's taxonomy places the organism in Eukaryota, Metazoa, Chordata, Actinopteri, Pomacentridae. The record is from RefSeq and is a predicted model, not a curated record. The transcript is spliced from 2 exons.
UAAAUGGAAUAAUUCUUGGAGCCCCUGUCUUGCCUUCAGAGUUCAGCAACUGAGGAAAGUCUUGAUGGAUCACACUGCCCUGGAGGAGGAGGAGGAGGAGGAGGAGGAGGAGGAGGAAGAGGAGGACCUCGUUCACAAUGACGACCACGCCUGAAACCUGCUGUUCAUGAAUUUUGUUAUUUUGCAAUAAAGCACACUGUUCAAAAUCCUGUUUUUAUUUUCUUUGUUACUGAUUUUGUGUUGAAAGAAAGUUUUUCUGCUGAUAAAGUAUAAAGUCUAACGUUUACCAAAUAAUUCCUUCAGAAUGAUGAAUGUUUCUGUACCAGAAGACUGUUUAUGGGAUGUUUUGGAGUAUAUAUUCAAUGUAUUGACAAGGAGAAUUCACUACACAUCUUCAGAAACAUCUGCAAACUGCAUCUAAAACGUAUUACAAAAAGCGUUUUGAAAAGGUUGAAUAAAUGUGGCACAGUGAA